This 306-nucleotide ribosomal RNA is filed under the name uncultured bacterium. Its description in RNAcentral is "partial 16S ribosomal RNA". It matches the Rfam family "Bacterial small subunit ribosomal RNA", at positions 507 to 807 of the family's 1533-position model. The record is from RNAcentral.
GACAGCAGUAGCCGCGGGAAUACGAAGGGUGCAAGCGUUACUCGGAAUUACUGGGCGUAAAGCGUGCGUAGGUGGUGGUUUAAGUCCGUUGUGAAAGCCCUGGGCUCAACCUGGGAAUUGCAGUGGAUACUGGGUCACUAGAGUGUGGUAGAGGAUAGUGGAAUUUCCGGUGUAGCAGUGAAAUGCGUAGAGAUCGGAAGGAACAUCUGUGGCGAAGGCGACUAUCUGGGCCAACACUGACACUGAGGCACGAAAGCGUGGGGAGCAAACAGGAUUAGAUACCCCUGUAGUCCCUGUCUCUUAUAC